GACGAACCGUGCAAACGUUAUUCGGAAUCACUGGGCAUAAAGGGCGCGUAGGCGGCUUUCUAAGUCAGGGGUGAAAUCCGGCAGCUCAACUGUCGCAGUGCCUUUGAUACUGGAGAGCUCGAGGGAGGUAGGGGUCUGUGGAACUUCCGGUGGAGCGGUGAAAUGCGUUGAUAUUGGAAGGAACGCCGGUGGCGAAAGCGACGGACUGGAUCUCUUCUGACGCUGAGGCGCGAAAGCCAGGGGAGCAAACGGG
RNAcentral lists this ribosomal RNA (253 nucleotides) under uncultured bacterium. Its description in RNAcentral is "partial 16S ribosomal RNA". It matches the Rfam family "Bacterial small subunit ribosomal RNA", at positions 524 to 776 of the family's 1533-position model. The record is from RNAcentral.